This is a long non-coding RNA of Homo sapiens (human), 2628 nucleotides long. Ensembl annotates it as mir-99a-let-7c cluster host gene. Its record names the gene MIR99AHG. Lineage: Eukaryota; Metazoa; Chordata; Mammalia; Primates; Hominidae. The record is from Ensembl.
UUCUUUCUUUUUUUUUUUUUUUUUAAAUCAGGAAUCAUGUCUGAAAGCUGCCACAACCAGUUGUAUAGGCAUGUCAAAAUGACUUUAUACAGUCAAUAUGAAACAAGCAUUAAAUAUUUUUUCUCAUGUUGUUGCUUUUAUCAUUAUGAAUUCCUUGCUUGUUGCCACCUAAGAUACGAUGGAGCAAGCACAGUCUUAAAGAAGAUUUGCUGAUUUUUUGUUUUUCUCAGCAGACCAGAGUAGGACAUCCAUAAAAAUUCAUCAGAGAGCAUUUUACUACUGAGCUGCAAAGGGAAAAACUUAAAAUGGAUAUGAAAAGUGAAGAAAGUGAUCAUAGGAGAAAACCAUUUCAGAUGACAAGAGCACCUCAAAGGCAGCAGCCUCAAGGAGCAGCCAUGGCCCCAGACUUGUCGCACGGAUGCAGAAAACUUAAUGGAGGAGGCUGAGGUCAGAAUGGGAAGAGUUUUUAAAAAAUAAAAAGGGGAGCUAAUAUGUGAGGAACUGAUUGCUGUGCAUUAUUUUCCACUGAACAGACCUUCUUUUAACUUCUAAUCUCAAGCACAUAGCAGCUGUUGUUUUCAUAUUAAAGAUCAGUAAGUGUUUGUUGAAUGAAUGUAUAAAUUCUUCCCCAAUCUCUGUUCCAUGUAAUAAGAACUAAGUUAGCAUUCAAUUAUAAAGAGGACUUAGAAAGUCUGCAGACAUUUUUGAUCAAAAAUCCUUUUAACUGUCUUCUUAUGGUUCCCGGUAACACCUAAGCCCAAAAAACUCAGGUCAUUUCUUGCCUGUACUGUUGCAAUAGCCUCAUAAUAACUAGUCUUCUCCUUUAUCAACCACAGUCGUCUCCGCUACACAAAGAAGAGAGGGUGCUAAUCUAAAGUGUAAAUUAUUUUAAAUCAGCACCCUUCUUGUAAUUUCCCAGUGGUUUUUCCUGUCAUAAGAAUAACAUGCAAAAUUCCUUGCUUGCAAAGCCAGGUAUGACCUUGCCCCGUCUACCUUACUGGCAUCGUCUCUCAUGACUCUUCCCCUUUUUCACUCUCCAUCUUGCCUUUUCCCAACCAUGCCUGCUAGUGAGCCUUAGCCCUUGUGUUUUCUCUGCCAGGGAUGCAUGACUGGCUUCUUUACUUUAUUCUGAUCUCUCUGCUCAAAUGUCAUCUUUUUAGAGAUAGCUUUCCUAAACAUCUUUAAAAGUACCCCAUGAACUGUGAAACACCUUUCCUGCUUUUUCUUCAUAGUACUUAUCACUUCCUGAUAUUAUGUUAGACAACAAGCAAAUAAGUAUAUGCUGUUCCCACUAAAAUAUAAGCUCCAUUUGAACAGGAGCCUUGAUUAUUCCUGAGUAUACCCCUAGUGCCCAGAACCUAGUAGGGCUUUAAUAAAUAUUAGAUUCAUUUGUUGAAUGAAAAAAUGAAUGAAUAAUUGAAUAAAGAUAUCCAGGUAGAGUGUCCGGGCAGCCCAACCUAUGUGAAGCCAGUACAAGAAUGUUUCUGUGACAUAGUGAGCGCAAUUAUUCCUCUAAAUGAUGAACUUGCAUGAGUACACAAGGAUAAAAUUAAGCACGUAGUUUAGAUUUCUGCAAGUCUCUUCCUCAGAUUGAGGAAAAACAAAGAAAUUGAGCUUAUUCUCACCUCAUUCUUACAUGAACUAAAUCCAGAAUAAAGCAUCAUUUAAAUACCAAGCACAUCCCUACCUCAGCCACUCAUGGAAUACUUUAUCUGUAAAGGGACAGAUAGAUAGUAAAUAUUUUUGGCUUUGGGGACCGUACAGUCUGUGUCGCCACUACUCAGCACUUCUGUUGAGGUGUGGAAUCAGCCCUAGACAACACAUAAACAAAUGGGUGUGGCUGUGUUCCAAUAAAAUGUUAUUUAUAAAACUAGGAAAUCAGCAGAUUUAGUCCACAGGCUGUAGUUUGCUGACCCUUGAAUUAGAGAGUCUUCCCCAAAUCCUCUUCCCAAGUUAUUGAAAGAAUGCCCAUAGGACCAUAGCUCCCUCACCUGGUUCUUUCAAGAAAUGAGACAAAUUCAGGGAUGGUUGGAGGGUGGAACGCCUACCUGUGACAUGACUAUUGAGCCUGAUUUCUUUCCUUUUAUCUCUUUAAAGUGAGUCAGGUCUUAACUUUAAACUGUCUCUAAAGUGGCAAUAACUGGGCCAUGUCAAAUACUCCCAAUGACAAAAUUUCUUCUUGGAGAAUGAAUGAGGGUUGCAUACAGUGGUGUGUUGGUAAAUGUUUAGCAACUGGCUCUCUUACUGAUUUCUGUAGUGUAAAUUCUCCCAUCCUGGCCAUCUGAAACUACCAAUAUGAUGUCACUUGAUGUAGAGUUGGGAAAAGACAGUCUCUUGAAUAAGUAUGAGCUGGUUCCAGCCCACUGCUGAACACAUAUUUAAAAGCUACAAUAGCUCUGCUCACUGCCAUUGCAGAGUCUGGAGGAAAGAGUAGCAGGCUUGAUAGGAGCAAUUGGCUGAAUAAUCUUUUGCAAUGCCAAUAAAUAAUGAAAAAGUAUAUAAAUAUAACGCUGUAUAGAAAGCUCUCAAGUUCAGUGUUUGGUUAAAAUACAUACUCAGUAAAUGGUAGCUAUUAUUGUCUUAGUUUAAGUUAUUGCAAGCAUUAAAAUUAAAUGUUUAGCUACAGAC